Molecule: ribosomal RNA, 524 nt
Filed under: uncultured Hyphomicrobiales bacterium
Lineage: Bacteria; Pseudomonadati; Pseudomonadota; Alphaproteobacteria; Hyphomicrobiales
Description: bacterial SSU rRNA
Rfam family: Bacterial small subunit ribosomal RNA
Source: RNAcentral
UGGGGAAUAUUGGACAAUGGGCGCAAGCCUGAUCCGGCCAUGCCGCGUGGAUGAUGAAGGCCCUAGGGUUGUAAGGUCCUUUCGGCGGGGAAGAUAAUGACGGUACCCGCAGAAGAAGCCCCGGCUAACUUCGUGCCAGCAGCCGCGGUAAUACGAAGGGGGCUAGCGUUGCUCGGAAUCACUGGGCGUAAAGCGCACGUAGGCGGCUUUUUAAGUCAGGGGUGAAAUCCUGGAGCUCAACUCCAGAACUGCCUUUGAUACUGAGAAGCUUGAGUCCGGGAGAGGUGAGUGGAACUGCGAGUGUAGAGGUGAAAUUCGUAGAUAUUCGCAAGAACACCAGUGGCGAAGGCGGCUCACUGGCCCGGUACUGACGCUGAGGUGCGAAAGCGUGGGGAGCAAACAGGAUUAGAUACCAUGGUAGUCCACGCUGUAAACGAUGGAUGCUAGCCGUUGGCAGGCUUGCCUGUCAGUGGCGCAGCUAACGCAUUAAGCAUCCCGCCUGGGGAGUACGGUCGCAAGAUUAA